AGCCUUCUUCAGGUGUUGCUUUAGAAAG
RNAcentral lists this unclassified non-coding RNA (28 nucleotides) under synthetic construct. Its description in RNAcentral is "RNA (28-MER) from synthetic construct (PDB 8D4B, chain C)". The record is from RNAcentral.